AAAUAUUAAACAUCAGCAGGUGCCCCCGUUUUUAACCGGGGGAGAAUAGGGAAUCAGGUGAAAAUCCUGAGCGGUCCCGCCACUGUGAUCGGGGAGCAACCUCCAAUGUUAUAAGCCACUGGCACGGCACUCACUGAUGAGCUGAUACAUGCAAUGGCACUUGUUUUAGCAAUGGAAAUGUAACAACAUGGUUUAACCAUAUCACUGGUGAGUGCUGGCUGGGAAGGCGGCUGGUUGUGAGGAUCCGGAGCCAGGAGACCUGCCUGCUGGUUCUUUCACCG
Molecule: non-coding RNA, 281 nt
Filed under: Desulfofundulus kuznetsovii
Lineage: Bacteria; Bacillati; Bacillota; Clostridia; Eubacteriales; Peptococcaceae
Source: RNAcentral